UGAGUAGGACCACCAAACCCGAACCGGUUCAAAGAUACAAAAGGCGAAGAAGAAGAAAUCCAAUGCAAAUACAAAAAAGGCUAAUCUUUUCAAUCAAAUUGAUGGUAAUAGCGAUGCAGAAUCGUUUAUCCUUUCCAGAUGCCCCCAACAGAAGAAGAAGAAGAAGAAGAAGAAGAAGAAGAAAUCAGUACCUCAUUCAUAUUUGCAAAGGUAUUUUUCUCGUUUUUGGUUCUGCUCUGUGUUUAUGUUUACGCACGUGGAUUUGGAUACUUGUUCUAUGCUAACCCUACAAUUCUUUAAAUUUCAGGGAAGUAAUACUAUGGACAUUGAUCAGGUGAGUUUUAAUUGUUGUUGGUUUAACGACUUUGAAGAUUCUACAACAAGUUCCUAGUAUGUAAAGAAGACAGUUAUACUCUCUGACAGUAAUUAUUUCUGUGACUGAGAAAUUACUCGAAUCAUAGCAGUACUACUUAUAUAAAAACAAUCACCAGAUCAGAGCUAAAACUUUACUUUGAAAUUCCACAAGUAUUCCUUAUUUGGAACACUUCCCGGACCCCGCGCAUAGCGGCAACAUAGUGCAGCGGGCUGCCCUUUUUUAUUACUUAUUUGGAACAACAAUUGUGGUCCGGCCCUUCCCCAGACCCACGCAUAGGCGGAGCUUAGUGCAACGGGCAACCCUUUUUUUAUUCCUUAUUUGGAAUAACAAUUGUGGUCCGGCCCUUAAUUCCCUAGACCCCGCGCAUAGCUUAGUGCACCGGGCUGCCUUUUUUUAUUCCUUAUUUGGAAUAACAGUUGUGGUCCGACCCUUCUCCAGACCCACGCAUAGGCGGAGCUUAUUGCACCGGAUUAUCCUUUUUUAUUCCUUAUUUGGAACAACAGUUAUUGUAAUCAUUGGGCGGCCUUCUCAACUAAUUCAAAGGUUAGUUGUAGAAGUUGUGCUUGAAAACUUGUUUUGAACUCUGGUCGCUGUAGCUUUCUUUUUAUAUAUUUGUUCUUGGUUUUCUCUAUGUAUAUAUAUGAGCUCGAAAGAUUUAACAUCUUCAACUAGUGAACUACUAAAGCGUUCCAAGAGGAAAUAGUUAUGGAGAUCUUCCGCAGGUUAUCCGUGCGGUCUCUUCAACGGCUCAAAUGUGUUUCAACAUUCUGGAAGGCAUUAAUCUUUGAUUAUUACUUUAAGAUGAAGCAUCUCAAUCGUGCCAAGAAGGGUCAAAAAUCCCAAAAACUUCUUGUUGCCCAAUACGCGGGGGGGUGAUGCGGUUGAAUUCUCUUGUUUUUUUUAUCGCCGGUUCAAGUGGUUGCGGAUGAACAAAAACUUGAUUUGCCUACAAACUGCAAAUCACAUUACCACAUAAGUUUGUUGUUAUGAUGGAUUGGUUCUUCUCGUAACUUGUGAUAGACUUGGCAUACACCUUUUGCUCUGGAACCCCUCCACAAGAGAAUCAAUAGUAGUUCCCUAUCUAGAAUAUAAACGACAUGAUUGUGUUUUUGGAUUGGGAUAUGACACAACUAGGGAUGACUAUAAGAUCCUUGCGGUUGACUUGAAUAAAAAUUGUUCUGACAAAGUAUCCGGUGAAAUUCUCGCGCUAAAAAGUUGUUCAUGAAGGAAAAUUGGUAAAUAUCCUACUUGUAUUCGCCGUUCGUCGACCUACUAUUCUGAUUCAUUGAAAGCUCAAAACUCCUUUGGACAGAGCUGCUUAAAAGAUUGACUGCUCUGCUCUCCCAUUUGACAUUAUACCUCUCUCUGUAUAAUGCUUUUCAGUAUUAUAAUACAUAUAGCUAUAUAAAAUAAUUCAAUACAUGGUAUUGGUAAACUUGUUUCUUAGGACUUCCAAAACUUUCUUGUGUUACUGAUGUUGGGCCAAAAUGCUAUACUUUUAGUACAUUACUCUCCUUACAUGUUAGUUUAGUAGUUAUUUGUGCGACAUUUGAGCUAAAUUAUGUUAUUUUAUGUGUAGGGGUAUUAGAAGAGAAAGACGAGUGAAGGUUGCACAAAAAGAGGACGAAAAUGCAAGAAAAGAGCACAAAAAUGCCAAGUACCCAAACCGCGCUACAGGCCAGGCUUCGCGAGGUCUAUAGCCAGCUUGACCGCGCUACAGACCAGGAUUCGCGAGUUCUAUAGCCAGGUUGACCGCGCUAUAAGCCUCGCUUCGCGAGGUCUAUAGCCCGGUAAUUAAAAGUCGCUGGUUAAAAGUCUCUAACCCGGAUUUGGACUCAAGAACUUCAACCCUAGCUUAUAAAUACUCCCUAAACAUGUCUAUUUAGUCUAAGAGAAAGGGAGGACGUUUUUUUAGAGCAAAUUCAACCAAAAGGGAGAUAUUGUUUAGAGGGUAUUCGACCUAUGGAGGCAAUAACACACUAGGAACAAGGCGGAGAAUUCUUCUAUGAGUUUUUCACUUUCUUUUUCCUAUUUCCACUAUUGGUUAUGAAUUCUUGUAUUGUAAUUUUGCAUACUAUUAUGAAUAUCUAAUUUGUUAUCUAGAGUUUUAAUAAAACCUUUUGUAAGAUGAAUUCUUGUUAUAUUUUUAUAUAAUUGAGCCGUU
Molecule: long non-coding RNA, 2540 nt
Filed under: Nicotiana tabacum (common tobacco)
Lineage: Eukaryota; Viridiplantae; Streptophyta; Magnoliopsida; Solanales; Solanaceae
Description: long non-coding RNA (NTAB_LNC006404)
Source: RNAcentral